UACGUAGGGUGCGAGCGUUACUCGGAUUCAUUGGGCGUAAAGGGUGCGUAGGCGGCGCGGUAAGUCGGGUGUGAAAUCUCGGAGCUUAACUCCGAAACUGCAUUCGAUACUGCCGUGCUUGAGGACUGGUGAGGAGACUGGAAUUUACGGUGUAGCGGUGAAAUGCGUAGAUAUCGUAAGGAAGACCAGUGGCGAAGGCGGGUCUCUGGACAGUUCCUGACGCUGAGGCACGAAGGUCAGGGGAGCAAACGGG
This 253-nucleotide ribosomal RNA is filed under the name uncultured bacterium. RNAcentral's name for it is "partial 16S ribosomal RNA". It matches the Rfam family "Bacterial small subunit ribosomal RNA", at positions 524 to 776 of the family's 1533-position model. The record is from RNAcentral.